Non-coding RNA from Aegilops tauschii subsp. strangulata, 2709 nucleotides. The record is from RefSeq and is a predicted model, not a curated record. Lineage: Eukaryota; Viridiplantae; Streptophyta; Magnoliopsida; Poales; Poaceae.
AAGUCCCUCUGGUUAUGAGAAUUCAACCCGCGGUCCUAUUUUAAAUUAAGAAAACGUUUCAUUUUUACAAAAAACUCCCGGCAAUUACCACCGCGCACCACCGCUUAUCCAUUCCCAUCCACCACCGCCGGGCACGCGCCGUCACGCGUAGCCGUUUGCCGCCAGAGUCCACGCCACAGGAGCCAAGGAGGCGGGCGUACGCGUUGCCCGACCCCAGGAAUGGGGCGAGGCGUCGCGGCUGGCAUUGGCGAAUCCAUUCCCAGCGGCGGCGGCUUCCGGCGAGGAGGCGAGCGAGCUCGGGGAGCUCCGGCGGGGGCUUGUCGCCAGUGACGCGAGGCCGAGGCGGCGGCGCGCGGGCGCGAGGAGGCGGGGUCGAGGAUGCGCAGGAGGACGCCGGCGGGGGCUUGGCGAGGGCGACGGCGGUCGCGAGGGCUUGGUGGCGGCCGGCGUGCUCGCUUGGGAGGAUGGAGGCUGCCUCGCCGGGGCUCGGGCGCGAAAGCACGGCGUCGGGCCGUUGCCGAUGGCGCCGGGGCCGGGGCGGUGGUUUGACGGGCGACGAGGAGGAGGUGCUGUCCUGGAGCCAGCGACGGCGGCUGCACCUUGACGAUGCGGGCGUCAACAGCUUGCUUCAGGGGCUGCGGGCCGUGAACGGCGUUGUGCUCGCGCGCGAGACCCGUGUCUGAUUUAGAAAGAAUCAAUCCGUUGAAGAAGAAGGCCAAUGCAACUGCUCUUUAGCUACGCACUGGAGUAUCUGCACCCCCAAUGGAAUGGUACGAAUUGCUGCCGGUAAUGAACAUUGACAGGCAAGCGACAACAAACAGACUUUGCUGUUUUCAAUCUAAUGAGAUAUUUGUUGGGCAUCACCGAGGAACGCCAACAAACGUGUGAAGAAAUACUCGCAUUCAGUGUGACAUGUCGUGUGAGAUGAAGGUGGCAAACCAUCCAAACUUGAAGCCAAGCAUGUGGUGGAUCCGCCAUGGAUGAUGGAUGGACAGGUGAGUGUAGAAGUUUGAGCUGUGAAACUUUGUGCGAUCGAGCUCCUGGUGUAAUUAAGCAUAUGGCUUUUGUGAUGUGUCAUGUAGGUAGUGAUUGCCUAUAUUUCUUUCCCUCUUAAAUUUGUUGUAAUAAGGUUGUCCUUUGCAGAAGGAAGAUUGAACCACCUUUUGGUUUAGGUAGAAGCACCCAUUGAUGUUUUCCAAUUCUUUGUAUUCAUUCUAUUAUGUGCUAUAAUAGUUAAUUGCAUAUAUAGGUACUAUGUUUGGAUAUUCUCACGCAACAUCUAUGUACAACAGAUGCAGAUUUUAAGAAUAUUUAACCAAAAACCUUUGCCUGCACUGUUCAGAAUAUGAAGCCAUAUUAUAAUAAAGUUUAUUACUACAUUUUUUUUAUCUAAUUCAUGCUAGAAAUGACUUUUGUUUUCACAAAGUCCCUAGCUUAUAGGUUUGUGCUUUACUUUACUUUUUACUACAGUAACAAUGCUACAACACGAUGCAACAUCCCCUGAUGAUACUCAAGUUUCUUAUAAAACUUGGAAAUAUGCAUACAAAGGUAGUUUUGAGAGAUGGGGCUGAACAGUUACUUGUUGUAUACUUGUAUAUAAAUAUAUUGCAAUGUUGCUCCAAUUUAUCAACCCUCAGCCGUAGUAGUACAAAUAUACUCGGUGUAUUAUAGGUCCACUUAGCAUGAAGGAGCAUGAUCAAAUUGAGAAUCAGACAGAAAUAUCCGUCAAGCAUAUCAGGUCAAGGAAGGUAGAAAACCUGUUACAUAAGGUAAGGUUCAGUAGCUUCAGAACUUUUUCUGUUAUACAAAUACUGUUUCAGUUUCAGAACAUGUAUUAGUUUCGAAUUCUCUUAGUGAAAACCUCUUUACUUCAGAGCAUCCAAAUGGUGAUGUAUCCACUGUAGUUAGGAUUUAGCUCAACUUUUAAGGCAAUUUUGUAGAGUUAGGUUAACUAUAUAUGACAGUGCUUUUAGUGGUUCUGCCUUGCUUAUGUCGAAGCCGCAUAUUUUUGCAGAAUAAGGUAUUACUUGAUGAGCUAUUUGACCUAAAAAAUAAGAUCAUGGUGAAUCAGUAACUUCAUUUUAUUCUCACCCUAGAUAGUAUGCUCCUUCCGUUACUAUUGUUUAUUUAAUGGCUGACAAAAUGAGCUGCAGGAGCAAGAACUACAGGAUCAAACCAAAAACCCGAGGAAGAAGUUUCAGUUGGAUUUGUUGUCAAUGCCAAUUCCCUACCAGAGAAGGAUGUGUAGCAAGAGAUGAGAUCAAAAUCCAAAGAAGACAAAAGAAAAGGCGCACACCGGUCGGGUGUUCAAACUGUUACAAGAUUCGGGGAAGGCCACACUACUCAAAACCAAAGCAGGCAGCUAAACUAAACAAGUUCUUAUCUCAAGUUAACAUAUGUUCCUUCGAUAUAUCCUAGGCACGACCACAUGAUCAAUUGCCAUGUAGGUUUGGAAGUUGGAACCAAUCAAGAAUUGCAUCGCCUGGAUGCAUGAGGCAAUUCGAUGGUGUGAGGGCACGUCGGUUAAUGUUUGCGCUCGAGAUCUUGGCCACAUCUGCACAAUCUAAUUCUUGCAUCUUGCGUGUUGUGUUCUUCCGUUGCAACGCAUAGGCAUAUGUCCACACUUCAUGCUUCAAAAAACGACAAUAGUGUAAUCUCAUUACCGAUGUUUAUCGGAACUACAUAUAUGAAAUGUCGUGUAAUGGCACA